Molecule: transfer RNA, 67 nt
Filed under: Sisyra aurorae
Lineage: Eukaryota; Metazoa; Arthropoda; Insecta; Neuroptera; Sisyridae
Description: tRNA-Ser
Source: RNAcentral
AAUUAAUGAACUUGUAUAAGUAUAUGAUUUGAAAUCAUAAAAAAGAAGUAAAGUCUUCUAUUAAUUU